GACGAACGCUGGCGGCGUGCUUAACACAUGCAAGUCGAACGGAAAGGCCCUGCUGUUUUGGGGUGCUCGAGUGGCGAACGGGUGAGUAACACGUGAGUAACCUGCCCUUGACUUUGGGAUAACUUCAGGAAACUGGGGCUAAUACCGGAUAGGAGCUCCUGCUGCAUGGUGGGGGUUGGAAAGUUUCGGCGGUUGGGGAUGGACUCGCGGCUUAUCAUCUUGUUGGUGGGGUAGUGGCUUACCAAGGCUUUGCCGGGUAGCCGACCUGUGAGGGGGGCCGGCCACAUGGGGACUGAGAUACGGACCAGACUCCUACGGGAGGCAGCAGUGGGGAAUAUGGCACAAUGGGCGGAAGCCUGAGGCAGCAACGCCGCGUGCGGGAUGACGGCCUUCGGGUUGUAAACCGCUUACGCCUGUGACGAAGCGUGAGUGACGGUAAUGGGUAAAGAAGCACCGGCUAACUACGUG
RNAcentral lists this ribosomal RNA (468 nucleotides) under uncultured bacterium. RNAcentral describes it as "partial 16S ribosomal RNA". It matches the Rfam family "Bacterial small subunit ribosomal RNA", at positions 28 to 507 of the family's 1533-position model. The record is from RNAcentral.